GACAGAGGGUGCAAACGUUGUUCGGAAUUACUGGGCGUAAAGCGUGUGUAGGCGGCUUUGCAAGUCGGAUGUGAAAGCCCAGGGCUCAACCCUGGAAGUGCACUCGAUACUGCAGAGCUCGAGUCUCGGAGAGGUUGGUGGAAUUCUCGGUGUAGAGGUGAAAUUCGUAGAUAUCGAGAGGAACACCGGUGGCGAAGGCGGCCAACUGGACGAAGACUGACGCUGAGACACGAAAGCGUGGGGAGCAAACAGG
RNAcentral lists this ribosomal RNA (253 nucleotides) under uncultured bacterium. RNAcentral's name for it is "partial 16S ribosomal RNA". It matches the Rfam family "Bacterial small subunit ribosomal RNA", at positions 524 to 776 of the family's 1533-position model. The record is from RNAcentral.